UGGGGAAUAUUGGACAAUGGGCGAAAGCCUGAUCCAGCCAUGCCGCGUGUGUGAAGAAGGCCCUCGGGUUGUAAAGCACUUUCAGUGGGGAAGAAAGCCUCGGGAUUAAUACUUCCGAGGAAGGACAUCACCCACAGAAGAAGCACCGGCUAACUCCGUGCCAGCAGCCGCGGUAAUACGGAGGGUGCGAGCGUUAAUCGGAAUUACUGGGCGUAAAGCGCGCGUAGGCGGUCUGAUCAGCCGGUUGUGAAAGCCCCGGGCUCAACCUGGGAACGGCAUCCGGAACUGUCAGGCUAGAGUGCAGGAGAGGAAGGUAGAAUUCCCGGUGUAGCGGUGAAAUGCGUAGAGAUCGGGAGGAAUACCAGUGGCGAAGGCGGCCUUCUGGACUGACACUGACGCUGAGGUGCGAAAGCGUGGGGUAGCAAACA
RNAcentral lists this ribosomal RNA (428 nucleotides) under uncultured Halomonadaceae bacterium. RNAcentral's name for it is "bacterial SSU rRNA". It matches the Rfam family "Bacterial small subunit ribosomal RNA", at positions 355 to 774 of the family's 1533-position model. Lineage: Bacteria; Pseudomonadati; Pseudomonadota; Gammaproteobacteria; Oceanospirillales; Halomonadaceae. The record is from RNAcentral.